This 424-nucleotide ribosomal RNA is filed under the name uncultured bacterium. RNAcentral's name for it is "partial 16S ribosomal RNA". The stretch from base 1 to 335 matches the Rfam family "Bacterial small subunit ribosomal RNA", at positions 1355 to 1533 of the family's 1533-position model. The record is from RNAcentral.
CGUUACGGUGAAAAGUAGAACUGAUCUUGUACACACCGCCCGUCACGCCAUGAAAGCCGGUUAAGUAUGAAGUUUUCUUCUUUUUUAUUUUUUAUCUUGUGUAUAAGUAGCCCCAAAUACUUAUGCAUAUGUAUAACGUUUUUUAUCUAGUUUAUAAAUAAACAAUUAAUAUAAUAAAUUAUAUUAUAUUAAUCAAUUUUAUAAAAUUAUAGGUUCGGCUUCGAGCGAUAAACAAUAAAAAAAACUAUAACAAGGCGACGAAUAUUUAGUUGGUGAUUGAGGCGAAGUCGUAACACGGUAGCCGUAGGGGAACCUGUGGCUGGAUCUAAAAAUAGGUAGUAUAAUGGUAAUGCACAGGUCUGCAAAACCUGGAUAUAGUGGUUCAAAUCCACUCCUAAACUAACUAAAUUCGUAGCUUAAUGGU